UGGAGUACAUUAUAUACAUUGAAUAGCAGUAACAGUACGGGGAGCAUUUAUAUACCAAUAUACUAACCUGGAGUUUUGUUAACUCUGACUGAAUUUAAGAAAAAUAUUCAGUUCCUAUUCAGAUUCUAUUGAUUUUAAACCUAUUUGAUGCAAGUUCCUGAAUGGGAUUUUUGGUGCAGCACACUGCAGGGAAAUUUGCAGGACCACAACUGGACUAGCGGAGGCCCACGUGGAUUUUGGGGCUAAAACCCAAGGGUUUGCAUUCUGGCACUGAAAAUCAGCCAUGUGUGCCUGCACCCAGGCCAACUCAAUGGUUCCGGCAAGGUGCGGAGGAAGUGUUCUCCAGCGUUGGACACUCAAAACCCAUUUUAUCCUAUGAGUCAAAAUCUUCCAAGACGGCUCCAAAUUCAGUUGCAAUGAAAACUGUGGAAAAAUUCACUCUAUGGGAAAUUUAGUACAAUAACAAAUGAUGAUAAAUUACUGUAAUUUAAGAAGUGCUAUUCUGAGACAAUUUGCAAUUGGUCUAUUUUUUGAGCUGUAACCUUUUCUAUUCCAGCCAGGGUCAUUGACCCCAACAAUGAGAAGCAGAUUCAAUCUGAAUCAGAUUGAUUCAGAUUGUUAUCCUAAGCAGAUUGAUUCAGAGGGUUAUCCUAGCAACCAGGCACUGGUUUGAAUGAGAGACUAGAAUAGAAAUAGGAAAGACAUCAUCUGACAUCAGUAGGAAUACUCCAUAAAAGACAAAAAGCCUCUCUCCUUGCAACUGACUAUUUGGUCCAUCAGAAGCAGGAGCAUAGCUCGACCAUAGAGGCGAAAAGUUGUUUUAUAAAAAAUGUGCAGUAGACCUGAUACAGAGCUGUUUUGCUCCAGAAAUAACAAAAACCCAUUUUGCUCUGGAUUUGACACAUACCAUUUUGCUUCUGAAAUUAUAUAACUGACAUAAAGUAAUUUUAUAAUGGAGACUUUUUCCAUUCAUUUGGCUCUACUAACAAGUCAUUUGCUAAUGAUACUGCAUUAUAUUUAUUAAAUGCAAGGUCAACACCUUUUUUCAAAAGUUUCCCCCUUCGUUUUUACAUGAUAAAGAGAUAUAUUUCCCAACAAUUAAUGUGCAACAAUUAAAAUGGAUAAAAUACCUUUGUGAGAAUUAUGUCUAAGUCAAAGUUAUUUUUGGAUUCCUUUUCAGGCAGAAUGUAAGUCCCUAUUUCCUGCUCUCCCCAUUACACACUAAGAGAGGAAAAGUCUCUCUGCAGAGACCAAUGACUUUAUACUUUUUACUAUUUUUGCUAUGAGGCUGGCUUAAACAUCUAAGAAUAUUCUCCAGAAGCAUGAACUUUCAUAAUAUUAGGCAGUUUGUUCAGUGUUACCCUGCCAGAGGCAUGUGGGUGGCUUGCAGACUAAAGAGGUGCUGCUAGCAGCAAAAAGAAAUUGUGGAAAUGUUUCCAUUUUUUGAAUACCACAUUCGACGCUGUGCUGUAAGUCAGAAAUAAUUAAACUCUCAAUCUGAGGAUCAAAAGGUUGCUCCCAUUGUGGUUUUCAUCAAACAUGUUAAGAAACAUCAGAACUAUUCAAAAGUUGUAUGAGUUUUUUGAAAGAUUAUUUUCACAAUAAUUACUUAUUUUCCCAUCAAAAUCAAAAAGUUGUAAAUCAGUCUACCUGCUCUUAAAUAUUUACAUUUUUCCUUGGGGCUGCCAGAUAGCUGCUAUUUUAGAUUCUGUUUCAAACCUGCUAAGCUCUUAGCUAGCACUAAAAUUAUUAAGUUGUUAAGGGAGUGCAAUAUAUUUACAGAAUAGGAGACCCAGUCUGUGGGAAAAUAAGAGACAUUCCUAACAUUUCACUAACAUAGCAGUGAAGCAACAUGUAUGAUGAGAGCCUGAGGCAUGCUCCAAAAUUGAAUAAGGCCUAGUAGAACUGAUUAUAAAUUAAAAUAUUCUAGGAACAUACUGUAUUUAUUGUGAUAUAGAGGUCUCUGUGUGUACUGUACUUCUCCACAGCGUACUAGGGUGUCCGGGGCCCUCCGGGGAUGCCAGUGAUGGAGGCCCCCACUGCACCCUCCACAAGCUUUACAGCUCCCUCCUUCCCAACUCAUAUCUCUGAGUUGCAGCACUAAUUUCCUUGCCACCUGCAGGUGGUGGGGGGACCACCAUGUUUUUUCCCGGGAACUCUGACAGCCCAGUUCAGAGUUCAAAUGAAUAAGGGAUAGGAGUUCGUAAAGAGGUCAUGUCUAAGUAGCACUUCCUGCAAUGAAGUAUUAGCACAGGUAUGGGACCUGUUAUCCAGAAUGCUUCAGACCUGGUGUUUUCCAGAUAAUUAAUUAAUUAAUA
This is a long non-coding RNA of Xenopus laevis (African clawed frog), 2318 nucleotides long. RefSeq lists it as uncharacterized. NCBI's taxonomy places the organism in Eukaryota, Metazoa, Chordata, Amphibia, Anura, Pipidae. The transcript is spliced from 3 exons. The record is from RefSeq and is a predicted model, not a curated record.